CCUACGGGUGGCAGCAGUCGAGAAUCAUUCACAAUGGGGGAAACCCUGAUGCAGCGACGCCGCGUGAGUGAAGACGUAUCUCGGUACGUAAAGCUCUAUCAGCAGGGAAGAAAAUGACGGUACCUGACUAAGAAGCCCCGGCUAACUACGUGCCAGCAGCCGCUGUAAUACUUAGGGGGCAAGCGUUAUCCGGAUUUACUGGGUGGAAAGGGAGCGUAGACGGCAGCACAAGUCUGGAGUGAAAUCCCGGGGCUUAACCCCGGAACUGCUUUGGAAACUGUGCGGCUGGAGUGCAGGAGGGGUAAGCGGAAUUCCUAGUGUAGCGGUGAAAUGCGUAGAUAUUAGGAGGAACACCGGUGGCGAAGGCGGCUUACUGGACUGUAACUGACGUUGAGGCUCGAAAGCGUGGGGAGCAAACAGGAUUAGAUACCCUAGUAGUC
Molecule: ribosomal RNA, 440 nt
Filed under: uncultured bacterium
Lineage: Bacteria
Description: partial 16S ribosomal RNA
Rfam family: Bacterial small subunit ribosomal RNA
Source: RNAcentral